This 440-nucleotide ribosomal RNA is filed under the name uncultured bacterium. RNAcentral's name for it is "partial 16S ribosomal RNA". It matches the Rfam family "Bacterial small subunit ribosomal RNA", at positions 338 to 795 of the family's 1533-position model. The record is from RNAcentral.
CCUACGGGAGGCAGCAGUGGGGAAUAUUGCACAAUGGUCGAAACCCUGAUGCAGCGACGCAGCGUGAAGGAAGACGGAUCUCGGUAUGUUAACUUCUAUCAACAGGGGAAUAAAUUACGGUACCUGACUAGUAAGCUCCGUCUAACUACGAUACAGCCGCCGCGGUAAUACGUAGGGAGCCAGCGUUAUACGGAUUUACUGGGUGUAAAGGGAGCGUAGGGGGUUUAGAAAGCCUGCAGUGAAAGCCCGGGGCUCAACUCGGGGACUGCUGGUGAAACUGUUGUACUUGAUUGCAGGAGAGGUAAGUGGAAUUCGUGGUGUAGCGGUGAAAUGCGUAGAUAUUAGGAGGAACACCAGUGGCGAAGGCGGCUUACUGGAGUGCAAAUGACGCUGAGGCUCGAAAGCGUGGGGAGCGAACAGGAUUAGAUACCCGUGUAGUC